Long non-coding RNA from Gadus macrocephalus (Pacific cod), 814 nucleotides. RefSeq lists it as uncharacterized. Lineage: Eukaryota; Metazoa; Chordata; Actinopteri; Gadiformes; Gadidae. The transcript is spliced from 2 exons. The record is from RefSeq and is a predicted model, not a curated record.
CUCCAUAAUACAGCUAUCGAGGUUACCAUCCUUGCGUUUUUGAAUCGUUGAAAUUAAAAGCAACGUUUUUCCCAAACGGUUGUUAAACGUUCUAGAACACACAUGCUGUCAUCUGGUCGUGAUGAUCUUUUAUCCUCUUUACUUUAUUGAAAAUCUCACCCGAAAGCGCGUUGAUAACCCGUUGAGUGUCAACAUUCAACGGCAUGCCAAUUAGUAACAACAAAGCCUGGUCCUAUAAUAAUAUACAAAUGUGGUCGGGUUCUAGUUUAGCCGUUUAACCGCAUUAAAAGGCUAAACACUAGCACGACAGCGGGAGCGUUGUGCUUCGACUAGAAGGGCAGUGUUUGGUUGUAGCCGUCCCCUCCCCCUCUCUGCUCAAACUUGCCUCUUGGUUUCGACGAGCUACUGCCUGGUGGCUCGGUAGCUGGCGGUGGCAAGCGAUGCAACCGAAAUGGAUUAGCCAAAACCCCAAAGGGGAAUCUUUACCAUUUGCAGAGGCAGUUGCCAUCCCUUCCCUUGGGGGGGUAGUAGUCGCUGCAGGUGGGUUUCCAGCGCUAGCAGGGAUAUUGCUGGAGGGGAAGCUUUCAAGUGCCAAGCUCACAGCUCCCGACCUGAUGGUGUAGGUGGUGGUGGACAACCAGUCUGUCAUGAUUGAAGUACUUUUGAAGUUGCGACAGGGGUCAGGACAAUUGUGAGAAGGCAAGGUAGGCAUGCAAAGAUGCACCUUACACUCCGUAAACAUCUAAAAAAUACAACAAAUUAAGCAAAUGACAGUUCAUUUUAGUUCAAUGACUAAUCCUAGUUAUUGAAUAUG